CCACCGCCUAUCCCAAAACCUAUAAGAACCAAUGAUAAUCCCACCACCCUUUGAUGACUCUCUUUUUGGACUCAGCCCGCCUGCACCCAGGUGAAAUAAACAGCCUUGUUGCUCACACAAAGCCUGUUUGGUGGUCUCUUGACACGGACGCAUGAGACAUUUGGUGCCGAAGACCCGGGUCAGCGGGACUCCUUCGGGACAGCAGUCCCCUGUCCUCACCUUCACUCCCUGAAGAGAUCCACCUACAACCUCAGGUCCACAGACCAACCAGCCCAAGGAACAUCUCACUGAUUUUAAAUCGGACUCUCUUCACACGGGUGAGUGUGACAUUUGGUGCCGAAGACCUAGGACAGGAGGACUCCUUUGGGAGACCGGUCUCCUGUCCUCGCCCUCACUCCGUGAGGAGAUCCACCUGCAACCUCAGGUCCUCAGACCAACCAGCCGAAGGAACAUCUCACCAAUUUCAAAUGGGCUUAGCGGCUGAAGACUGAUGCUGCCUGGUCGCCUCGGAAGCCCCCUGGACCAUCAUGGACGCCGAGCUUCGGGUAACUCUCACAGUGGAGGCCUGUUUGGUGACUUUCUUCGCACCGACGUGCGUGACACAAUAUUUGCAGAAUAUGAAGGUGGCUGUCACGUGGUCUGGGCUUCCUGGAGGUUUGAGCUGGGAGCUGAAGCCCCGUAGGAGUUCUGUAAGUCAAAAGGGAAGAGAAGAGCAUUCCACGUAGAGAAAAGAAUCUGUGCUCCAGGCGCGGUGGCUCACUAUUGUAAUCCCAGCACUUGGUGUCAGGCCUCUGAGCCCAAGCUAAGCCAUUAUAUCCCCCGUGACCUGCAUGUAUACAUCCAGAUGGCCUGAAGCAGCUGAAGAACCACAAGAGAAGUGAAAACAGCCAGUUCCUGCCUUAACUGAUGUCAUUCCACCAUUGUAAUUUGUUCCUGUCCCACCUUUACUGAUGAAUUAACUUUGUGACAUUUCUUCUCCUGGACAAUGAGUCUCAUGAUCUCCCUACCCAGCACCUUGUGACCCCUGCCCCUGCCCGCAAGAGAUAACCAUCUUUAACUGUAACUUUCCACUACCUACCUAAAUCCUGUAAAACUGACCCACCCCCUAUCUCCCUUUGCUGACUCCUUUUUCGGACUCAGCCUGCCUGCACCCAGGUGAUUAAAAAGCUUUAUUGUUCACAUGAA
Molecule: non-coding RNA, 1185 nt
Filed under: Pan troglodytes (chimpanzee)
Lineage: Eukaryota; Metazoa; Chordata; Mammalia; Primates; Hominidae
Source: RNAcentral